GGCGUGUCCACUCAUGAUGGGGGAGGAGAGAAAGUGAACCAAUCAGCAGUAGGGGGCGUGUCCACUCAUGAUGGGGGAGGAGAGAGAGUGAGCCAAUCAGCAGUAGGGGGCGUGUCCACUCACGAUGGGGGAGGAGAGAGAGUGAGCUAAUCAGCAGUAGGGGCGUGUCCACUCAUGAUGGGGAGGAGAGAGAGUGAGCCAAUCAGCAGUAGGGGCGUGUCCACUCAUGAUGGGGAGGAGAGAGAGUGAGCCAAUCAGCAGUAGGGGCGUGUCCACUCAUGAUGGGGGAGGAGAGAGAUGAGCAAAAGGGAGAUUAGAAGAAAGACUGACGGCUGAGGCUGAGAGACAUUACAAAAGAGAAAAGCUCAGAGGAAUAUCACUU
Long non-coding RNA from Rhinichthys klamathensis goyatoka, 382 nucleotides. RefSeq lists it as uncharacterized. The record is from RefSeq and is a predicted model, not a curated record. The transcript is spliced from 3 exons. NCBI's taxonomy places the organism in Eukaryota, Metazoa, Chordata, Actinopteri, Cypriniformes, Leuciscidae.